AGAGUUUGAUCCUGGCUCAGAACGAACGCUGGCGGCAGGCUUAAUACAUGCAAGUCGAACGGGCGUAGCAAUACGUCAGUGGCAGACGGGUGAGUAACGCGUGGGAACGUACCCCUCGGUUCGGAAUAACUCAGGGAAACUUGAGCUAAUACCGGAUACGGCUUAGCGGCGAAAGAUUUAUCGCCGAGGGAUCGGCCCGCGUCCGAUUAGCUAGUUGGUGAGGUAACGGCUCACCAAGGCGACGAUCGGUAGCUGGUCUGAGAGGAUGAUCAGCCACAUUGGGACUGAGACACGGCCCAAACUCCUACGGGAGGCAGCAGUAGGGAAUAUUGGACAAUGGGCGAAAGCCUGAUCCAGCCAUGCCGCGUGAGUGAUGAAGGCCUUAGGGUUGUAAAGCUCUUUCGUCAGGGACGAUAAUGACGGUACCUGAAGAAGAAGCCCCGGCUAACUUCGUGCCAGCAGCCGCGGUAAUACGAAGGGGGCUAGCGUUGUUCGGAAUCACUGGGCGUAAAGCGCAUGUAGGCGGGUCUUUAAGUCAGGGGUGAAAUGCCAAGGUUCAACCUUGGAACUGCCUUUGAUACUGGAGACCUUGAGUCCGGGAGAGGUGAGUGGAACUGCGAGUGUAGAGGUGAAAUUCGUAGAUAUUCGCAAGAACACCAGCGGCGAAGGCGGCUCACUGGCCCGGUACUGACGCUGAGAUGCGAAAGCGUGGGGAGCAAACAGGAUUAGAUACCCUAGUAGUCC
RNAcentral lists this ribosomal RNA (744 nucleotides) under uncultured bacterium. RNAcentral's name for it is "bacterial SSU rRNA". It matches the Rfam family "Bacterial small subunit ribosomal RNA", at positions 8 to 796 of the family's 1533-position model. The record is from RNAcentral.